GAUGAACGCUGGCGGCGUGCCUAAUACAUGCAAGUCGAGCGAACAGAUGAGGAGCUUGCUCCUCUGACGUUAGCGGCGGACGGGUGAGUAACACGUGGAUAACCUACCUAUAAGACUGGGAUAACUUCGGGAAACCGGAGCUAAUACCGGAUAAUAUAUUGAACCGCAUGGUUCAAUAGUGAAAGACGGUUUUGCUGUCACUUAUAGAUGGAUCCGCGCCGCAUUAGCUAGUUGGUAAGGUAACGGCUUACCAAGGCAACGAUGCGUAGCCGACCUGAGAGGGUGAUCGGCCACACUGGAACUGAGACACGGUCCAGACUCCUACGGGAGGCAGCAGUAGGGAAUCUUCCGCAAUGGGCGAAAGCCUGACGGAGCAACGCCGCGUGAGUGAUGCAGGUCUUCGGAUCGUAAAACUCUGUUAUUAGGGAAGAACAAAUGUGUAAGUAACUAUGCACGUCUUGACGGUACCUAAUCAGAAAGCCACGGCUAACUACGUG
Molecule: ribosomal RNA, 497 nt
Filed under: uncultured bacterium
Lineage: Bacteria
Description: partial 16S ribosomal RNA
Rfam family: Bacterial small subunit ribosomal RNA
Source: RNAcentral